UCGCCUGUUUAUCAAAAACAUCACCUCUAGCAUCACCAGUAUUAGAGGUCUAAUCUGCCCACUGAUAUUUUAAAGGGCCGCGGUAUCUUGACCGUGCAAAGGUAGCAUAAUAAUUAGUUUUUUAAUUGAGGACUAGAAUGAAUGAUUGAACGAGGUGUUAACUGUCUCAAUUUAAAUGAAAUUAUAAUUUAACUUUUAAGUUAAAAGGCUUAAAUAUAAUUAAAGGACGAGAAGACCCUAUAGAGCUUUAUAUUUAUAUAAUAGUUUUUUUAUAGUUUAUUUUAAAUUUUAUUAAAAUAAAUAUUUUGUUGGGGUGACAAGAAGAUUUAUUAAACUCUUUUUAUUUUUUUAACAAAAAUUAUUGAAUGUUUGAUCCAGUUUUACUGAUUAUAAGACUAAGUUACCUUAGGGAUAACAGCGUAAUUUUUUUUAAGAGUUCAUAUCGACAAAAAAGAUUGCGACCUCGAUGUUGGAUUAAGAGUUAUUUUUGGGUGUAGAAGUUCAAAGUUUAGGUCUGUUCGACCUUUAAAUUCUUACAUGAUCUGAGUUCAGACCGGA
This 558-nucleotide ribosomal RNA is filed under the name Frankliniella sp. 1 YF-2010. RNAcentral describes it as "partial 16S ribosomal RNA". It matches the Rfam family "Bacterial large subunit ribosomal RNA", at positions 1796 to 2620 of the family's 2925-position model. The record is from RNAcentral. Lineage: Eukaryota; Metazoa; Arthropoda; Insecta; Thysanoptera; Thripidae.